This 440-nucleotide ribosomal RNA is filed under the name uncultured bacterium. Its description in RNAcentral is "partial 16S ribosomal RNA". It matches the Rfam family "Bacterial small subunit ribosomal RNA", at positions 338 to 795 of the family's 1533-position model. The record is from RNAcentral.
CCUACGAGCGGCAGCAGUGGGGGAUAUUGCACAAUGGGGGGAACCCUGAUGCAGCGACGCCGCGUGGGUGAAGGAGCGUUUCGGCGCGUAAAGCCCUAUCGGCAGGGAAGAAGAUGACGGUACCUGACCAAUAAGCCCCGGCUAACUACGUGCCAGCAGCCGCGGGAAUACGUAGGGGGCAAGCGUUAUCCGGAUUUACUGGGUGUAAAGGGGGCGCAGACGGCAAUGCAAGCCAGGAGGGAAAGCUCGGGGCCCAACCCCGGGACUGCUCUUGGAACUGCAUGGCUGGAGUACAGGAGGGGCAGGCGGAAUUCCUAGUGAAGGGGUAAAAUCCGUAGAGAUCAAGAGGAAUACUCAUUGCGAAGGCGACCUGCUGGAACAUUACUGACGCUGAUGCACGAAAGCGUGGGGAGCAAACAGGAUUAGAUACCCUUGUAGUC